RNAcentral lists this long non-coding RNA (2929 nucleotides) under Olea europaea subsp. europaea. Lineage: Eukaryota; Viridiplantae; Streptophyta; Magnoliopsida; Lamiales; Oleaceae. The record is from RNAcentral.
CGAUGAGUCCUGAUAGGUCACGUGACCCACCAACUGAAAAGGUUUUUAUUUUUUAUUUUUUUUUCUAGAUUCGAAAAUGAUGUGUUCAAAGAAUCCUUACAAAUUUCAAUUGAAACCGUCCAGAUUCCAAUUGAAACACUCUUCCAUUGGCAUUAACAAACUGAAACCAAGAAAUCGUCCCUCUUUACACCAAGAAACUGUCCCACUUCCCAAACUGUAUCAAUUCUUGAUUCUGUGUAUCAAAAUUUACUUUUUGCCAACUGGGUUUUUGCCAAGAAUUCCAGAAAGUGACUUGUGGAGUGGAAGACUCCAACUUUUGACUCUCUGAUCUCUGUUUUGGGUGUUUUGAUCUGUGGGUUCUAAAGAUGUCUCCGGGGAAAAUUAGAGCUGAAAAUAGAAAAUAUGACAAAUUUCUAGUGGGUCUGCGUGUUCUUGCUGCUGAUGAUGACCCAACUUUUUUGAAGCUAUUGGAGACUCUGCUUAGAAAAUGCCAGUAUCAUGGUAUGGAUCUCUAAUGGUUUGCGUUUAAUUGAUUUUGCCCCCACUUUUGAUGUUGCAAUUCGGUUUAGUUUUAAGGUUCUUUCUUUCAAAUGUAAUUGUUGGGAUUUCUCUAGUUUAUCUUAGAUUUUGAAGUGGGGUUUGCUCAAUUAUACAUCAAAAUUUUGAACCUAAUAUUUUAAAUUGUGCAUUCAUUGUUCUGGAUCAUCCUAAUUCUAAAUAUUGGUUCUAGGACCAUCCUAUUUCUAUGCUUUGUAGAUUAAGAAAAUACAGAAAAUAAUUUACAAAUAGAAAACAUUGAGGAAAUAUUACAUGUUGAUCAUAUUACAACUCAUUUAGUUAAUCAUUGGUUUGAAAUUAGGAAAAUGAUAGUCUGCCAGCAUCAUUUGCAUAGAUCCUGACCAGAUUAUCUCUCAAACAAGGGGGCCUACACCGAUUUUUUAAGGACAAAAAAAUGUCCACCCUCUCUUAAUCUGGCCAGGGUCUGUGCAAAUGACUCUGGCAGACUAGCAUAAUCUUUGAAAUUGUCAAUGGCUUGAAUUAACAUAGCUUUCCAUCAUAUAUUUCACUCUAGACAGUAAAAUAAAUUGUUGCCUGGAUAUUGAGUUAAAAUAUUGUAUGCUUGUUGUCUAGAUAUUUAUCAUAUGCUUUUAUAAUUUUCACAAAUUUUUUGUAAAUUUGAUUGUGCCCCACUAACUCAAAAAGUUUGUGUCCGCCACUGGAUGGAAGUAUUGAAAGAUACAGAGCUAAGCUCGUUGCACAGGGGUACACACAAUAAGAAGGUCUGGAUUAUCAUGAAACAUUUUUUCCUGUGGCAAAACAGGUUAUUGUUCGAAAUUUACUUGCUCUUGUACCAAUUGGAUGUUAAUAAUGUCUUUUUACAUGGUGAUUUGGAUGAGAAAGUGUAUAUGCAAUUACCCCAAUUAUGUUGUUGAUGGGAGUCCAAAAGUGUGCAAACUUCGCAAGAGUCUAUAUGGACUUUAGCAAGCCUCACGACAGUGGUAUUCAAAGUUGUCUGGUUUUAUCAUUCAGCAUGGUUUCAUUCAAUCAUAGGUGGAUUAUAGCUUUUUCACUAAGACCGCUUAAGACUCAUUCACAACUAUUCUAUGGUAUGUUGAUGAUGUUAUCUUAGCGGAAACUGUAUGGAUACUAUCAAUAACCUCAAAGCUGGCCAUAUACAAUGUUCAAAAUCAAGGACCUAGGAAAGUUGAAGUACAUUCUGGGAAUUAACGUGGAAAGAUCAGAACAUGAGAUAUACAUACGUAAGAUAAAUAUGCCCUAGACAUCUUAGGAGACUCAGGCACCAUAGGCUCAGCACCAUUAAAGAUACCUCUUGAUCAAAAUGUUAAAUUAGCAAGAGACGAAGGGGAUUUACUUACUGAUCCUUUUAUCCAUAGGAGGCUAAUAGGAUGACUACUAUACCUGACUAUAACAAGACCAUAUCUAUCCAACUCAAUUCAGUUAUUGAGUCAAUAUAUGGAAAAGUCCAGAGUGCCACAUCUCCGCGCAGCACAUAAAGGCUGGUCUUACUCUUCUACUUAUGAUCUCCAGAAGGGUAAUUCAGAUUCAAAUUGGGGAGCUUGUCUGGAUAUUAGGAGAUCUGUGACAGGUUAUUGUAUUUUCAUAGGUUCAUCACUAGUGUCAUGGAAGUCAAAGAAGUAAAAUGUAGUUUCAAGAUUAUUGUCUGAAGCUGAAUGCAGAGCAUUGGCUCAAGUCUGUUGUAAACUUACAUGGAUGAGAUAUUUGCUUGAAGCUUUACAGAUUGAACAAAGCUAGGCAGAAAGGUUAUACUAUGAUAACAAAUCUGCAAUCUACAUUGUCACAAAUCCCAUUUUUCACGAAAGAAUCAAACAUAUAGAAAUUGAUUAUCAUCUUGUUAGAGACAAAAAUACAAAAUGGAAGCAUCAACACUCACUAUGUUCACAUUGGUUUUCAAUUGACAGAUAUGUUAACCAGAGCUUUGAACUCUUCAAGUUUUACUCACACAUGAACAAGAUGUGAGUAGUUGAUAUGUACUCUCAAUCUUUCGGGGAGCUGUUAAAUGCCGAAGAGCAACCUGAUCAGCUGGCAAGUGAACCGUCAACACAGUCAUUAGCUUAAUUUAUAUCAGCAUCCAAUGUUGAUCCAACAUGGAAAGAAGAAUCUAAAAGCAAAGGAGUCUAGAAGCAUUGCCUUACCAGCAUUCUGUUGUAACAUACAUAUUCUUUAUUUUCUUUUUACACAAGCAUUGUAAAGCUAUAUAAGUUGUAUAAACCUUACACAUAUUUAAUAUUGAAGAUAGACGAAAAUCACACUGUAAGCUUUUUUGCUAUUUGCUUCUUUCUUAUACUUUUCUCCCAUGCUUGUUCUUUUUAAUUUGAGUCUUUUUCGUUCCCUUGUUUGUGAAAUUUUGCAAUGCGAGAUCAUUGAUACUAUUCGAAAAAGUGAUACA